RNAcentral lists this non-coding RNA (25 nucleotides) under Mus musculus (house mouse). Lineage: Eukaryota; Metazoa; Chordata; Mammalia; Rodentia; Muridae. The record is from RNAcentral.
GGAGAUUGUUUGCAUGUGGCAGGUG